Molecule: ribosomal RNA, 471 nt
Filed under: uncultured bacterium
Lineage: Bacteria
Description: bacterial SSU rRNA
Rfam family: Bacterial small subunit ribosomal RNA
Source: RNAcentral
UCAGGAUUAACGCUGGCGGCGUGCCUAAUACAUGCAAGUCGAAUGGUUAGCUUGCUAACCAUGGCGAACGGGUGAGUAACACGUAGGUAACCUGUCAUUAACACGAGGAUAACCAUUGGAAACGAUGGAUAAUACUGGAUAGGAUAUAAAAAGGCAUCUUGAUAUAUUUAAAGAUUUAUCGGUAAAUGAGGGGCCUGCGGCGCAUUAGCUAGUUGGGGGUGUAAGGGACCACCAAGGCGAUGAUGCGUAGCCGGACUGAGAGGUCGAACGGCCACAAUGGGACUGAGAACGGCCCAUACUCCUACGGGAGGCAGCAGUAGGGAAUUUUCGGCAAUGGACGGAAGUCUGACCGAGCAACGCCGCGUGAACGAAGAAGUAUUUCGGUAUGUAAAGUUCUUUUAUUUGGGAAGAAAAGGUUAGAUUGACUGUACCAAAUGAAUAAGCUCCGGCUAACUACGUGCCAGCCGCCGC